Non-coding RNA from Arabidopsis thaliana (thale cress), 135 nucleotides. NCBI's taxonomy places the organism in Eukaryota, Viridiplantae, Streptophyta, Magnoliopsida, Brassicales, Brassicaceae. The record is from RefSeq.
UCACUAGUUUUAGGGCGCCUCUCCAUUGGCAGGUCCUUUACUUCCAAAUAUACACAUACAUAUAUGAAUAUCGAAAAUUUCCGAUGAUCGAUUUAUAAAUGACCUGCCAAAGGAGAGUUGCCCUGAAACUGGUUC